GACGAACGCUGGCGGCGUGCCUAAUACAUGCAAGUAGAACGCACAGUUUAUACCGUAGCUUGCUACAACAUAGACUGUGAGUUGCGAACGGGUGAGUAACGCGUAGGUAACCUGCCUGGUAGCGUGGGAUAACUAUUGGAAACGAUAGCUAAUACCGCAUAAUAUUGAUUAUUGCAUGAUAAUUGACUGAAAGAUGCUAUUGCAUCACUACCAGAUGGACUUGCGUUGUAUUAGCUAGUAUGUGAGGUAACGGCUCACCUAGGCUACGAUACAUAGCCGACCUGCGAGGGUGAUCGGCCACACUGGGAGUGAGACACGGCCCAGACUCCUACGGGAGGCAGAAGUAGGGAAUCUUCGGCAAUGGACGAAAGUCUGACCGAGCAACGCCGCGUGAGUGAAGAAGGUUUUCGGAUCGUAAAGCUCUGUUGUAAGAGAAGAACGGGUGUGAGAGUGGAAAGUUCACACUGUGACGGUAUCUUACCAGAAAGGGACGGCUAACUACGUG
Molecule: ribosomal RNA, 505 nt
Filed under: uncultured bacterium
Lineage: Bacteria
Description: partial 16S ribosomal RNA
Rfam family: Bacterial small subunit ribosomal RNA
Source: RNAcentral